RNAcentral lists this ribosomal RNA (619 nucleotides) under uncultured bacterium. RNAcentral describes it as "bacterial SSU rRNA". It matches the Rfam family "Bacterial small subunit ribosomal RNA", at positions 61 to 671 of the family's 1533-position model. The record is from RNAcentral.
GUCGAGCGGUAACAUUUCUAGCUUGCUAGAAGAUGACGAGCGGCGGACGGGUGAGUAAUGCUUGGGAAUAUGCCUUAUGGUGGGGGACAACAGUUGGAAACGACUGCUAAUACCGCAUAAUGUCUACGGACCAAAGGGGGGGAUCUUCGGACCUCUCGCCAUUUGAUUAGCCCAAGUGAGAUUAGCUAGUUGGUGAGGUAAUGGCUCACCAAGGCGACGAUCUCUAGCUGGUUUGAGAGGAUGAUCAGCCACACUGGGACUGAGACACGGCCCAGACUCCUACGGGAGGCAGCAGUGGGGAAUAUUGCACAAUGGGCGCAAGCCUGAUGCAGCCAUGCCGCGUGUGUGAAGAAGGCCUUCGGGUUGUAAAGCACUUUCAGUAAGGAGGAAAGGGAUGUAGUUAAUAACUGCAUUCUGUGACGUUACUUACAGAAGAAGCACCGGCUAACUUCGUGCCAGCAGCCGCGGUAAUACGAGGGGUGCAAGCGUUAAUCGGAAUUACUGGGCGUAAAGCGUUCGUAGGCGGUUGAUUAAGCAAGAUGUGAAAGCCCAGGGCUCAACCUUGGAACUGCAUUUUGAACUGGUCAACUAGAGUACUGUAGAGGGUGGUGGAAUUUCC